This 497-nucleotide ribosomal RNA is filed under the name uncultured bacterium. RNAcentral describes it as "partial 16S ribosomal RNA". It matches the Rfam family "Bacterial small subunit ribosomal RNA", at positions 28 to 507 of the family's 1533-position model. The record is from RNAcentral.
GAUGAACGCUGGCGGCGUGCCUAAUACAUGCAAGUCGAGCGAACAGACGAGGAGCUUGCUCCUCUGACGUUAGCGGCGGACGGGUGAGUAACACGUGGAUAACCUACCUAUAAGACUGCGAUAACUUCGGGAAACCGGAGCUAAUACCGGAUAAUAUAUUGAACCGCAUGGUUCAAUAGUGAAAGACGGUUUUGCUGUCACUUAUAGAUGGAUCCGCGCCGCAUUAGCUAGUUGGUAAGGUAACGGCUUACCAAGGCAACGAUGCGUAGCCGACCUGAGAGGGUGAUCGGCCACACUGGAACUGAGACACGGUCCAGACUCCUACGGGAGGCAGCAGUAGGGAAUCUUCCGCAAUGGGCGAAAGCUUGACGGAGCAACGCCGCGUGAGUGAUGAAGGUCUUCGGAUCGUAAAACUCUGUUAUUAGGGAAGAACAAAUGUGUAAGUAACUAUGCACGUCUUGACGGUACCUAAUCAGAAAGCCACGGCUAACUACGUG